This 157-nucleotide ribosomal RNA is filed under the name Hypocrella narathiwatensis. Its description in RNAcentral is "Aschersonia narathiwatensis 5.8S ribosomal RNA". It matches the Rfam family "5.8S ribosomal RNA". From Rfam's summary of the family: 5.8S ribosomal RNA (5.8S rRNA) is a component of the large subunit of the eukaryotic ribosome. It is transcribed by RNA polymerase I as part of the 45S precursor that also contains 18S and 28S rRNA. RNAcentral also lists the same sequence under 1 other name. The record is from RNAcentral. Lineage: Eukaryota; Fungi; Ascomycota; Sordariomycetes; Hypocreales; Clavicipitaceae.
AAACUUUCAACAACGGAUCUCUUGGCUCUGGCAUCGAUGAAGAACGCAGCGAAAUGCGAUAAGUAAUGUGAAUUGCAGAAUUCAGUGAACCAUCGAAUCUUUGAACGCACAUUGCGCCCGCCAGCACUCUGGCGGGCAUGCCUGUUCGAGCGUCAUU